RNAcentral lists this ribosomal RNA (1647 nucleotides) under Triticum aestivum (bread wheat). Its description in RNAcentral is "partial small subunit ribosomal RNA". Lineage: Eukaryota; Viridiplantae; Streptophyta; Magnoliopsida; Poales; Poaceae. The record is from RNAcentral.
AUGGAGUUCAAGAAGCAGUGGGACCCUUUUCAAAAUGAACUUGAAUUGCCACAAGUGUUUGAUGGGCGGAAACCCCACUUAUAUGUGAGGACAUUAUUCGAUCAGAUGGUGUUUCACGAGGAGGAAAGAGAAACAAGCAUCAAAUUCAAUCAUGAGGAGUCAUGCCCCCCCAAAAUGCAGACUGAACUCAUGCAAGCAGUUUAUGGAAUAAAUCUGCCGCAAGCAUUUUAUAAGAAAGAUUUACUAUCAAUUGCACCAAGGAAGCAAAAGAGAGUGUCGUUCAACCUGAAUCCAAACCUUGUUGCAGUUGCAGAAAGGAUGCAACCAAAGGCAGUGACACCAUCACUCAAACAUAGAGGCCAAACUGGAAAAGUUCAACAGGCAACUACGCUGGCUAACAAGGCAAGUCAAGCAAAAUGUCAGGCAACUUACAGUGUUCAGAAGCCGGUUGAGCAAGGUCGCAAACCUGGCACUAUCAAACAAGCAAGUUCAAUGGGGAAGUUGCCAACCACAGGAGAGAAGUUGCUUGAUGAGAACCGACACAUUAACAACUUUCCAGACUCUGGUACAAAACAACAAGGCCAACUGGAUGUGUUGCCUAGGAAUGAUGCAAAACAACCAGUGCCUUUUGAGAAGUUGCCCAACAAUGUUAUUGAUUUUCCUGCAAGGAGCCAUCAACCUGCCACCUCACACACGACUGGUGGAAUAAGACCAGUGCCAGAGGAGAAGUUGCCUAGCCCUGUUGUUGUUUUGGCUGCAAGGCCCCCUCAGCUUGCCAAUUCAACUAGAAUGGCUAGGAAACAAACAGUGCGACUGCCCAACCAGAACUUGCCCAAUACUAUUGCUGACUUGCCUGCAAGGAACCACCAACCUGCCAUCUCAGAUAUGACCGGUGGAAAUAAAGCAGCGCCAGAGAACAAGCUGAGGGGCACUGAACAGAUGAUGCCUGCAGGGACUGAUGUAAGACAUGUAGGACCAGCAGCAAAGUUACUAAAGACUAACCUGAGUUUGCCUCCAACACAUCUCCAAGGUGAGACAAACAAGGAGAACUGGCCACCGACAAUAGUUGAAGAGCCAGCCAACGAACUCAAGAGUAGAAGGUUGUCCGGGAUGUGCAAUGACUACUGCCCAGCUCCCAGUUUUGGAGUGAUUUCCGAUGAGUUGGAACCUGGCCUUGAAGAUGGAGAUAAGGACAUCAAAAAAUGGGAUGAAGUUCUUAACAUGCAAACAGAGGAUAUCGCAACAACGAGCAUAAGAGAAGUAAUAGACCUUGAUGAUGUUGUGUGGGAUGCAGAGGAACUAGAGGCAGCAUGUGCUGAAGCAGAGCGAAGGGGGAAAGAUUCAGUUAAUUCUGCUAUGUUCAGUACACCACAGAAAAUGAACAAUGAAAUAAAUGUGGGGUCAGGUGGUAAGUUUUCUAGCAGUAGCAGUUCAGGGGAGGUAAUUACGAACAAAUUUGAGAGGAGGCUCAUGAAGCCAUCAUCAUCUUUGAGAUCACCUUUCACGGGCAUUGACAACCAAAAGGAAUUCUAUUGCAAACCCGAAGUCAACCACUUAUAUGCAUCUGUUAUUUUGCAUGCAAGGCGCAGUGCAGAAGAAUCGCCCGAUACAGAUAACAGCCCAAGAAUCAUCGACUUUGAUGGAUAG